GCUCUUAUCUAGAGAGAAAAGAACAACAUCAGAUUUAAUAGGUCAACUUUUGAUGCAGCUCUACUGUGCAGAGAAAUAGCCUUAUCAAUCCAUAUCCGAGGCCGAGACUGCAGGAAAUGGCAAGAUGGAUUGGUCAAGCUCAACAAAUAUCCUUAGCUCUAGUCACUAGGAAUGCUAUAAUGUACUUAGAGCAAAUUAGAACUUAGUAUAGGAAAUGAUGUAAAUG
RNAcentral lists this long non-coding RNA (226 nucleotides) under Nicotiana benthamiana. RNAcentral's name for it is "long non-coding RNA (NBEN_LNC019749)". The record is from RNAcentral. Lineage: Eukaryota; Viridiplantae; Streptophyta; Magnoliopsida; Solanales; Solanaceae.